This 253-nucleotide ribosomal RNA is filed under the name uncultured bacterium. RNAcentral's name for it is "partial 16S ribosomal RNA". It matches the Rfam family "Bacterial small subunit ribosomal RNA", at positions 524 to 776 of the family's 1533-position model. The record is from RNAcentral.
UACGUAGGGCGCAAGCGUUGUCCGGAAUUAUUGGGCGUAAAGAGCUCGUAGGCGGCUUGUCACGUCGGGUGUGAAAGCCCGGGGCUUAACCCCGGGUCUGCAUUCGAUACGGGCUAGCUAGAGUGUGGUAGGGGAGAUCGGAAUUCCUGGUGUAGCGGUGAAAUGCGUAGAUAUCAAGAGGAACACCUGCGGCGAAGGCGGGUUGCUGGGCCGACACUGACGCUGAGGCGCGAAAGCCAGGGGAGCGAACGGG